Apis dorsata (giant honeybee) is the source of this 198-nucleotide long non-coding RNA. RefSeq lists it as uncharacterized. The transcript has 2 exons. The record is from RefSeq and is a predicted model, not a curated record. Lineage: Eukaryota; Metazoa; Arthropoda; Insecta; Hymenoptera; Apidae.
ACACAUACACAUGCACACACAUACGACGAUUAUGCGAUUUUCCGCUCGAGAUUAAACGCUGAAAAAUACGCUGAAUUCUCGAGAAAAGAUAACACCAAAUUUUCAACGUAUUUGCUCGAUGACUCAGUCCGUAUCACGAACGUUUAACGGUUAAUCACCGAUCGAACGCACUUUCACGAAUCACGUUGAAGAUAAAAU